GAAAUGCGAUAAGUAAUGUGAAUUGCAGAAUUCCGUGAAUCAUCGAAUCUUUGAACGCACAUUGCGCCCUCCGGUAUUCCGGGGGGCAUGCCUGUCCGAGCGUCAUUGACACAAAUCAAGCGCGGCUUGUGUGUUGGGCCCUCGUCCCGCGUAGGGACGUGCCCGAAACGCAGUGGCGGCGUCGCGGUUAUCCGUAAAGCCCGAGUGUAUGGGGUUUCAUCACACGCUCAAGGCCCAGGACCGGCGCCCGUCGACCUUCUAUUGAGAUAUCAAGGUUGACCUCGGAUCAGGUAGGGAUACCCGCUGAACUUAA
Molecule: unclassified non-coding RNA, 313 nt
Filed under: uncultured Gymnoascaceae
Lineage: Eukaryota; Fungi; Ascomycota; Eurotiomycetes; Onygenales; Gymnoascaceae
Description: sequence contains ITS1
Rfam family: 5.8S ribosomal RNA (bases 1-105)
Source: RNAcentral